CCCGCUGAACUUAAGCAUAUCAAUAAGCGGAGGAAAAGAAACCAACAGGGAUUGCCUCAGUAACGGCGAGUGAAGCGGCAACAGCUCAAAUUUGAAAUCUGGCUCCCUCGGGGCCCGAGUUGUAAUUUGUAGAAGAUGCUUCGGGUGUGGUUCUGGUCUAAGUUCCUUGGAACAGGACGUCAUAGAGGGUGAGAAUCCCGUAUGUGACCCGGUACCUAUGCCCAUGUGAAGCUCUUUCAACGAGUCGAGUUGUUUGGGAAUGCAGCUCAAAACGGGUGGUAAAUUUCAUCUAAAGCUAAAUACUGGCCGGAGGGCGAUAGCGCACAAGUAGAGUGAUCGAAAGAUAAAAAGCGCUUUGGAAAGAGAGUUAAAAAGUACGUGAAAUUGUUGAAAGGGAAGCGCUUGCAACCAGACUUGCCCUCGGUUGAUCAACAUGGUGUUCCUCACCGGUGCACUCUGCUGAGGUCAGGCCAGCAUCGGUUUGGGCGGUUGGAGAAAGGCCGUGGGAAUGUGACUUCCUUCGGGGAGUGUUAUAGCCCUCGGUGUCAUGCGACCAGCCUGGACUGAGGACCGCGCCUUUAGUGGCUAGGAUGCUGGCAUAAUGGUGGUAAGCGACUCCGUCCUGAUACACGG
RNAcentral lists this ribosomal RNA (633 nucleotides) under uncultured fungus. RNAcentral describes it as "eukaryotic LSU rRNA". It matches the Rfam family "Eukaryotic large subunit ribosomal RNA", at positions 24 to 664 of the family's 3401-position model. The record is from RNAcentral. Lineage: Eukaryota; Fungi.